GAUGAACGCUGGCGGCGUGCCUAAUACAUGCAAGUCGAGCGAACAGAUAAGGAGCUUGCUCCUUUGACGUUAGCGGCGGACGGGUGAGUAACACGUGGGUAACCUACCUAUAAGACUGGGAUAACUUCGGGAAACCGGAGCUAAUACCGGAUAAUAUUUCGAACCGCAUGGUUCGAUAGUGAAAGAUGGUUUUGCUAUCACUUAUAGAUGGACCCGCGCCGUAUUAGCUAGUUGGUAAGGUAACGGCUUACCAAGGCGACGAUACGUAGCCGACCUGAGAGGGUGAUCGGCCACACUGGAACUGAGACACGGUCCAGACUCCUACGGGAGGCAGCAGUAGGGAAUCUUCCGCAAUGGGCGAAAGCCUGACGGAGCAACGCCGCGUGAGUGAUGAAGGUCUUCGGAUCGUAAAACUCUGUUAUUAGGGAAGAACAUGCGUGUAAGUAACUGUGCACGUCUUGACGGUACCUAAUCAGAAAGCCACGGCUAACUACGUG
RNAcentral lists this ribosomal RNA (497 nucleotides) under uncultured bacterium. RNAcentral's name for it is "partial 16S ribosomal RNA". It matches the Rfam family "Bacterial small subunit ribosomal RNA", at positions 28 to 507 of the family's 1533-position model. The record is from RNAcentral.